Coffea arabica (coffee) is the source of this 3343-nucleotide non-coding RNA. NCBI's taxonomy places the organism in Eukaryota, Viridiplantae, Streptophyta, Magnoliopsida, Gentianales, Rubiaceae. The record is from RefSeq and is a predicted model, not a curated record.
CCCUAGACUCCUUUUCUUCUAUAUAACUCUCCCAAAACCCUGUUGUUGCCUUCAUUGGUAGUUCUCCCCAAGUCCGCCGCAGAAUUACUUCCGAUUCAUUUCUGAGCUCGUUCUUUUCUGAUGAUUUCUGGUUCUGGAUUGAAUUCUACUCCGGUAGCUUGAUCAUUUUGUUCGUUGGUUUUUUAGUUUUUCCGUUGAAAGGUUGAAAAUUUUGAUGGUGUUUUUGCUAAUUUUACUCCGCGGAAUCAGCAUCUCCAAUUCACUUGCGAGAUUUUUUUUUUUGGUCUCAUUAGUGGUUGGAUCUGGGUCUAAUUCUACUCUGGUAGCUUGAGUUUUUUAGUUUCUGAUGCUUUGUGAUUGAAAAGUUGAAAACUUUGAUUGUAUUCUGCUAUUCCGAUUUCAUUGUUUUUUAUUAGAUUUUUUGCACGAAUUUCUCGUUAUUUAUAAAAUUUCUAGGUGUCUAAGAUGACACAAAAAGGCUCGAGAGCUUUCGCCUACGCCAGGCUUGAAAGCUUAUGCUGCCUUUUUAUUCUAAUUUCUAUCUGAGGCACCCCCUCCAUACCUCCAUUAUUACUACUUUUUUUCAAAAAACUUUAACGUGUAAGGAUAAAUGCUACAGGCAUGUAUGUUUAUAAAUUUAGGAGGGACUAUUAACGUUGGCCCUUUAGCAUUGGAUUGAAUUAUUGCUUCAGGGAUUUAGAAGUUCCUGAUAUGCAAUUUCAUCCAUCCAAUCACUUUGUCAGCAAUACCAUAUGUUUUGCUGGUCAUUCAAGGAUGGAAUACCAAAACUAUUGGUUCUGUUUUUGUUUUGGAUAUGUUUUGCUAAAUUGGAAAUUAGCAGUGAUGACAAAAUCUAAGGCUUGUUUCUCAAAACAUUCGCAGUGGCCGCCUAAGAGCUUUCGCCUUCGCCUUCGCCGGGCUUGAGAGCUUGUGCUGCUUCUAUCCUUCCUUGGAUGUCUGAGCGUUUACUCUUUCUUCGUUCUUUCUUUUCUAAUUCUUGGCUUUUUUUUUUCUUUUCUGUUCCUUGGUUUAAGUUUUGAAGUCUGUUCUUGUUUCUGGUUUAGGAUAGGAUCAAUGAUUUGAGUUUCAGUUGUAUGAGUUAUAACAUUUGGUUUAUGAUGACAAAUCCAAAGGCUUGUUUCUCAAAACAUUCGCAGUGGCCGCCUAAGAGCUUUCGUCUUCGCCAGGCUUGAGAGCUUAUGCUGCUUUUAUCCUUCCUUGGAUGUCUGAAACAUUUAUUUAUUAUCAUUCAGUGUGUUUUUUGUGCUGUGGUAUGUUCAAGAUGUACACCUUCUGUUGGAGAAGUUACUUGAUAGAUGGAACAUUGCAUGGUUUUAUCUGAUUAGGUAAUUUAUCUGUUGUGUUUUUGCUUGCCUGUCUUCUCUUCCUUAAAUAUUGAUGUACAAGUCCUUGAGAGAUUUUUUUGCUUCACGCGAGCAAGUUGGUUGAAGAGAGGCCCACUUACAGUGUGUCAGUGGAUAGGAUAGAUAAUUUUUACUUUGUACUUUCAUUAAUUUUGGUCCUCUGAAUUAGUGUUUCAAGAUAGGAUGAAUUAGUUGCCUAUGAAAUUGCAACCUUUGCGUGUUUAGGACUAUGAAACAUGGAAGAACUGUUAUCUGGGACUUCCAACGUCUGCCCCUUUGGCAUGUAUCUGGGUUGCUUUUGGGAUGAACAAGUCCCUUACAUCCAAUCAUCAUUCAUCCUAUACUUAAUCUGCAUUGCUGGUAUAUGUUUUGCUGAUUAUACGGGGAUGAAACAAAAUUUUCCUUCUUGGUGUUGUACUUUUUUGUUGCUUGGUACUAUUCUUUUUUCUAAUUGUUGUUAGGGAUUUAAUGCUGUUGAGAACUUUGAAAACUUAUAAACGAGAAAUGGGAAAAGCGAGUUCUGUUUGCUUCCUGAUGUUUAUUUGAUAGUGGCUCUUUAAUGACGAUUCUUUGUAUUGGGGCGAGCUGCUGUUGUGCUUGUAAAACCCACGAGUUUUUCAAUAAUCGUCAGACAUAAAGCACUUGUUUUUGUGGUUGAGGCUUCUAAUGAAGAAUCCCACUGUGAUGAGUUGCGAUCUCAUAUCCUAUCGCCUUGUGCAGCAGAGUCUCUGCUAUGACCUCUUGGGAUUGGCCAUGAGAAAUACAUUCAACACACACACACACACCGACACAUUUAUUACAGGUUUAUCAAAGUUCAAACAGAAAAUAUGCCUAUGAUGAGAUCUAUACCAAAAAUACCAUCUUUCGGGACUGAAUGGCUUGUUCAUAGCCUUGCUGUCAUUCUGCAAUUCUGAGGCAUUCUAUCUUAUUGAUAGCCCACUUAAGUAUUUUAAUUCACGUAUUUGAUUAGAUUAUCCCAUUAUCUCAACGGCCUGACCAUUUUUGCUUUGAAAACUUUGUUGCAAAAGUUUGUUGGUUAGUAAAGAAUUUAAGAUCAAAUAUUUUUCUAUACCUAUAGUGAUUCCACUACAGCUAAUUCAGUGCUUAUGGACGGUCCGGUGCUGUUUAGUUUUUGCACAACAGCACUUAACAUAAUCAUAAGCUAAAUUUAGUUUGGCCACCUUUUCUUUCAGGCCUCUUUCUCAAUUUAACCUAGAAGAGGCUAUCCUGUAGUGGCUGAUAUCUCAUAUGUAAAUUAUGAAAAUGUACAUGGAUUAAUACUGUUCAUUCAAUGUGCUGAAUAUGGGUUCUGCUUUCAGUUUGUGAUAAUUCUAUGAUUUCGAAUUGCAGGUCUUUGAUUUUGCUGUGAAGGAUAUUUUAGUUUAUUGUUUUGCCCCCAUUCACCUGAUGAUUUGACAGGUUCAAGUAAAUCAUCUGGAGAACCGACCCACACAAAAGCUACAAGCGUGUAUUACAUCAAUUUAGAUAUAGUACUAUUGGUGUCAUUAUAGCAAGCGAUCAAGGCCCAAUAGAUCUUAGAAAAUAUUUCUGCCAAAUAUAUAUUCUAUCAUCCAAGAAAUUGAAUGAUUCCUUAUUUCUUCUGACUUUGAAAUGAAAGUAUCGAUAGAUACUGUCAAGGGGCGAGUGGAUGUCCUUCAGGCUGUUCCUACCAGUUAGAAGGUUUAAGGUUUAAUGGAUGCAUAAUGUGUCAGGAUUGUAUCUGUAAAUCGCAGUAUCGAAUCAACUUUGAUGUACUGUGUUGAUUUAAUUUUGAGUUUGACAGAGUAAUAGUGGUACCAAAUUUGCCCGGAUCUUUCUAUGCAUUGUGCUGUAUUUUGUUUUCUUCUCCUGGUCGUAUUGAUCACAUUAAGAGCAUUUCCAUUAUAGAUCAAUUAUUUUUUUCGUAGUCAAUUAGAGGAUUCGACAAAGAUGUAGUACACAUAAUGGAAGGGACCCUGAGUACUGGUUAUACUGUUUCA